This is a long non-coding RNA of Coregonus clupeaformis (lake whitefish), 387 nucleotides long. RefSeq lists it as uncharacterized. The record is from RefSeq and is a predicted model, not a curated record. The transcript is spliced from 3 exons. NCBI's taxonomy places the organism in Eukaryota, Metazoa, Chordata, Actinopteri, Salmoniformes, Salmonidae.
ACACUCUUGGCAUUCCAAGCCACCGUACCAACUUUCACUUCUUUCAACUUGCUGCUUCAGAGAGAGCAGUCAUCAAUAUCUUUGUUGAGGGUGAGAUGAUGAGAUGGUGAAAUUCGUACGCAAGCUAUGUUCCAAGUUUAUGGUUCCAGCAGCUCUGCAGUGCCAUGAGGAGCCUUGUGAAAUUGCCUUUAAAGAAAAGGCUAACCAUUUACCAGGAAGAAAGCUGAACAUUGGGUUCACAACCAGGGCUAAACUUAACAGAUUACUCGACGAGGGUGACAUCACACCACAGCAGGUGGAUUCAUUCCAUGAAGCUGUGUUGUGUUUCCUGACAAGUGCUGUGGACUAUGCACUUAAGAAGCUGCCACUGGAAGAGCCACUGAUCAA